CAGCCGUCUGGUGCUGUCUGAGAAUCACAGUCACACAGAAAAGUACAUGUUUGUCAAGUGUUUGUCAUCUGAUACAAAAAUUUUAGAUUUUUGACUUUUUUUUGCUAGUUUUUGAAGAAUACUGGUCAUUUUUAAAGAGGAUUUUUCUCUGUUGCGAGACAACACCACCAUAUAAGAGAUAAUGCUUGUACAAGCCUUCUUCUGAAAGCCUAUAACACAGUGGUUCCUAAAGUCAGUGCUAAAUAAUCCAUGCCCUGCAAAUGUUUGUGUUUUCCACACUAGCACAUCUGACCCAAAACAUAUGGAGUAAUUAUUAUUAUUGUUAGUUAUUAUGCGCUCAGUCAGGUGUGCUAGAUGAAGGAAAGUCCAAAAAAAACUGCUUUCACCUGCUCUUGAACUUUAAAAGCUUACCUUAAAGUAUGGAAAGUGCUCUUUCAUGAAGCUGUAGAUUUCACUGACUGGGAGGCUGCCUGUCUUACUGUUCUUCAGAGCCAUAGCAAUCAGGCAACUUGGGAAAAUGAAGAGAUGGUAGACUUUACAUUAGACACUGCUAUGUGAAAGAUAUUCCUAAUCUAGAUCAGAUAUGAAAUUUUAGGCCUUGUUCUCCUAGAGACAGCCGCUUACCUGUAGGAGUAAAUGGGUUUGGGGAAGGAUUUGGGUUGCAGGUCUUGGCUGUGUGGAGGGAUGCGCUGCUGGGGGAACAGGCCCUGGCUGUUAUAACCACCGUACAGUCCUCCAGGGGAACACUAGAGACAGCACAGAGACAGACUGUGUUAUAAUUUAUAUUUUCUGUGCUCAGUUUAACUGUUAAUUGGUUAAUCUACCAGUUCUAACAUUAAACCACCCUUUCUCAAAGUAUGAUGUACAAUAGCUCACAAGUGGCAAAACGUAGGGCUUAAUAAUUAGCAUAACUCAUAGUUAUGAUGCAGUACGCCACUAUACAUAGUUUAUCUUCUCAACACCUAAUUAUCUCUAAUGAUAAUGAUCUCCCGAAAUUGGUCUACGUUAGUCAAAGAGUAAGAAGGCAUUUUACAUAGCUUUUAAAAGCACUGAUUUUAAGAUAAACAUGAGCCAUUGACUCCAAUAUUCAGGUGUUCCUGAAGACCUAGAGGCUUGAUCAGGUUUAUCAGAUAGAUGAAAUAGAUGAAAUCAAACCCAGCCUUGCUUACAUCUCCAGAAUCAAGGAUGAGAAACCACGCAGAGCCAUUUCCCUCAAGGACUGGUCUGGUAUCGGUGCGCGUAAACAAUUGUUUAAUUAUCUCAAGUACCUGCUGGUUGGCCUGGGAAAAGGUCAGCACCUGCUGAGAGGAGGCCUGGUAAACGGAGGCAGGACAAGGGAACCCAGGAGAGAACUGAGGCAUCUGGGAAACACAACACAGCACUCACAUUAGCACAGGUAUGAAUCUGAACCCCAAAGCACACUGACACUCCAACAUUUUGUGCUUAAUCUCUAUCUGGCAUAUCUGCAGUAUACAGUCAUGGAUCAUGGACAGUAAUUCCCAAAAGAACAGAAAACCCACUGACUUGAAAAACACCUAUAAUAGAAGUCAGUGCGCAGUUGUCGGUGAGUUCCAGGUUUAUGUUCGUUUCCGUAAAAGGAAAUCGUCCAUAUUAUUGUCCGAGAUGAUCAACAGUUGGAUACUGAUGCACAGAUAGAGAUUAGAUUGAAAAAUGCUAGAGUGUUCCUUUAAAAGCAUGUUCGAUAUCCGUCAGGUCGCUGGGUGUUACUUACGCUGUUCAUUCCCAGCGGGCUGUGCUGCAUGUUGCUCUGCAGAUGGAUCAUGGAAGCUGCUCCUCCUGCUACCGUCAUAUUAUUCAUCUGGGCUGCUGUUCUGAGCGGAGACGUUGAAGUCGGGUCGUCCCGGGCCGAGCUGCUGUAGCCGGGGAACGUCCACUGAAGUCAGCCAGGACAGAGACUGGAGGUCACUGGGGAGCUCAUCUUUAUUCAGCUGGGAGGGGUCUGUGGUCAACAGCCUUCGGAGACAGAACACAGCGCCGCUUAGACCAACUGACACUUUCAAAUCAGCCGGGAUUAAAACAGCUGCUGGUAGAAAAGGCCUGUUAUCAGAUGUAAAUUAGCCAGUCAGCUAACUCUUUUGUCUCUUCAGAGUAAUGUUCCCCGACAAAAUAAACAUAAACUAAAAGCUUU
Long non-coding RNA from Colossoma macropomum (tambaqui), 2149 nucleotides. RefSeq lists it as uncharacterized. The transcript is spliced from 2 exons. NCBI's taxonomy places the organism in Eukaryota, Metazoa, Chordata, Actinopteri, Characiformes, Serrasalmidae. The record is from RefSeq and is a predicted model, not a curated record.